Long non-coding RNA from Alligator sinensis (Chinese alligator), 975 nucleotides. RefSeq lists it as uncharacterized. NCBI's taxonomy places the organism in Eukaryota, Metazoa, Chordata, Crocodylia, Alligatoridae. The transcript is spliced from 3 exons. The record is from RefSeq and is a predicted model, not a curated record.
UGCGGGCGCCAUGCCCGGCCCGGGGCAUGAUGGGGGCUCAGUGCAGACAGUGACCGCGUCCGUCUGCCGGGUGGGCGCUGCAGGGAUGGCCGCGGGGAGCAGCUGGGCUGGUGCUUGCGGCGGGUGCCGGAAUCGCAGGCGGGGGUGCGGGGGGAGGCGAGGCGCGGGCGCUGCAGCCGGGCUGUGGGGCACGGGGCGGCAUGGCGAGCGUUCGCGUCCUGUUCCGGCUGCCUCGGUCCCUGGGGUUUGCAGUCCACAAUCCCGGCGGCGUGACGCUCCUGCUUCCAGGGGCCUCUGGGAUUUAAACCAGGUUCUGAUCAAACCAGUUUAUGUGCAAUUUGUGCCCCCAGCUGCCGGCCUGGGGGUGGAGAACGUCAGCAUCGCGUCCCCGGCUGCUGCCGGCCAGGUCCGGAUGAUGUUAGUACACGUAGCAAGCUGGGUCUUCGUUGUUUAGAUGAAGCCUAUAGGCAUGUGCUGACCCCGCUAGGCCCAGGCUCGAGCUGAGAAGGCCGUUUUGGAGCGCGGGAAUAGAACUGAAUGAUGAAAACUUGGACAUCAAGGAAAAAUGGAUCCAGCAAAGGAACACAAUUGACAUCAUUAAUACAUUUCUUAUCGUGGACCCCACAUCUCAACCUUGUGGCUUUGCUUUACCAAGACGGUGCUGGACACCCUUGAACAGGGUUCGUGCCGGACCGGGUAGACGGAACUACCUACUGCAUCAAUGGAGUUGUAUUAAAGACCCCACAUGUGAUUGUGGCAAAAUCCAAACUAAAGCACACGUCGCAGAGGAAUGCCCUAGUUACCAUUUUAAUGAUUGUACUGAAGACCUGACCUGCACCAGGCUACUGAUGAUGCCUUGCAAUGGCUAUCAAACUGUCAGUAGUCUUCUCCCUUAGUGCCGUUGUUUAUAGGUUGUUCGUAGCUUUUUCUGUCAGUGGGUUGCUGUAUUCCGUGUGAAUAAAUACAUAUUAUUGA